CCAAACACGUUUACACGUUGAGAUAAACGUUUAGUUUAGGUGCAUGUAAGGAACAUACGAUGAAUUAUGAUGAAAAGACUCUUUUAAUGUCAAUAGCUAUCGUUUUCACUACAUUUAUUUUGCUGAUGUCUUCAGAUCUUCUGGAAAUGGCCAGUUCGGAUUUUCCCGCCUCUCACUCUUCCCUCUCCAGUCCAGCGGGUGGCGCUAAACCACGUGCUUUACUUAGUGUCAAACACCAUUAAACCUCAGAGGAAGAAGUUCAGUUUCACCAUGGCAGGAAUAUCUGGAGGAGUAUCAUCUGAACUGAGAUCUGCUGCUGUGAAGAUGGUGUUUGUUAAAGAGGAGAGUGAGGAGAACAUGAUUGAACCAGAAAUCUGGAAAGUAAAACACGAGGAACCAGAAACAUGGAGAAUAAAACAUGAGGAACCAGAAACAUGGAGAAUAAAACACGAGGAACAAGAAACAUGGAGAAUAAAACACGAGGAACCAGAAACAUGGAGAAUAAAACAUGAGGAACCA
Molecule: long non-coding RNA, 519 nt
Organism: Puntigrus tetrazona (Sumatra barb)
Lineage: Eukaryota; Metazoa; Chordata; Actinopteri; Cypriniformes; Cyprinidae
Exons: 3
Source: RefSeq, a predicted model, not a curated record